Molecule: non-coding RNA, 135 nt
Organism: Dactylonectria macrodidyma
Lineage: Eukaryota; Fungi; Ascomycota; Sordariomycetes; Hypocreales; Nectriaceae
Source: the annotation of a GenBank genome assembly
GGUCCUAUAGUCUAGUGGUCAGGACGUCAGAUUGUAUGUUCACCGUUCUCAGUUCUUCACAGCUCCAUACUAAUUCGCAACAGUUGAUUAAUCAUCCUCCUUCUGAAGUCGCCAGUUCGAACCUGGCUAGGACCU